This 620-nucleotide unclassified non-coding RNA is filed under the name Hevea brasiliensis (rubber tree). Lineage: Eukaryota; Viridiplantae; Streptophyta; Magnoliopsida; Malpighiales; Euphorbiaceae. The record is from RNAcentral.
GAAAAACCAUACCUUGCACAAGGUCCCAUAUCAAACAAGUUGAUUUACUCAGGAUAUAGUUGCACGCAAGGCUGGUUCUUUACACCAUGUAGCAGUGACCCUUGUUUGAGGGGAUUGAAUAAUAUUCUGCGACUGUAUGUUAAGAAGGUCAACAGCUCAAAAUGGGAGAAAAUCUCUGUUCCUUCAAGUGUUCGGUCAAUAGUCACUCUUAAUCUCCCUAGCUAUGGCGGUGGAAGGAAUCCAUGGGGACGUUUGAAGCCAGAGUACUUGGAGAAGAGGGGUUUUGUGGAAGCUCAUGCAGAUGAUGGUUGCAUUGAAAUUUUUGGCCUGAAACAAGGAUGGCAUGCCUCUAUGGUUAUGGUUGAGCUCAUUUCUGCAAAACACAUUGCCCAGGCUUCAGCAAUUCGAUUUGAGUUGCGUGCAGGAGAGUGGGAUGAAGCUUAUAUGCAGAUGGACGGUGAACCAUGGAAACAACCAAUUAGCAAGGAAUAUUCAACCUUCAUUGAAAUUAAGAGAGUACCAUUUCAGUCUCUCAUGGUUAACGGCAAGAGAAAUUGAUCUUGUAGUUAUCUAUAUUCAUGUAAAGCAUUUCAAUCUCCCAGAAUAGCUUUUGCUUGUUC